CCUUACUGGCCUUUUAGCCAGCUCUACCCGAGAGCAAAUGGCAUUCCGUUCUCGGACUCAGGAGGAGCUCGGGGACAUAGUCAGGGAGAUGCUCCUCAUGGUGAGUUGUUAUCUUCAGUUCUAGGUUGUACUUUAUUCUCAUUGUUUUCUAUUUUAAUAGUUUUUCUUUUCACCAGGUGACGGGUGUCUUCAUGGAGAUCGACACCCGCGAUGGGUCUCUCC
This 222-nucleotide long non-coding RNA is filed under the name Manihot esculenta (cassava). Its description in RNAcentral is "long non-coding RNA (MESC_LNC001926)". The record is from RNAcentral. Lineage: Eukaryota; Viridiplantae; Streptophyta; Magnoliopsida; Malpighiales; Euphorbiaceae.